RNAcentral lists this ribosomal RNA (198 nucleotides) under uncultured bacterium. RNAcentral's name for it is "partial 16S ribosomal RNA". It matches the Rfam family "Bacterial small subunit ribosomal RNA", at positions 328 to 539 of the family's 1533-position model. The record is from RNAcentral.
ACGCUCGACACCUACGGGAGGCAGUAGUGGGGAAUAUUGCACAAUGGGGGAAACCCUGAUGCAGCGACGCCGCGUGAAGGAAGAAGUAUUUCGGUAUGUAAACUUCUAUCAGCAGGGAAGAAAAUGACGGUACCUGACUAAGAAGCCCCGGCUAACUACGUGUCAGCAGCCGCGGUAAUCUGAGCGGGCUGGCAAGGC